GCAGUCGAGCGAACAGACGAGGAGCUUGCUCCUCUGACGUUAGCGGCGGACGGGUGAGUAACACGUGGAUAACCUACCUAUAAGACUGGGAUAACUUCGGGAAACCGGAGCUAAUACCGGAUAAUAUAUUGAACCGCAUGGUUCAAUAGUGAAAGACGGUUUUGCUGUCACUUAUAGAUGGAUCCGCGCCGCAUUAGCUAGUUGGUAAGGUAACGGCUUACCAAGGCAACGAUGCGUAGCCGACCUGAGAGGGUGAUCGGCCACACUGGAACUGAGACACGGUCCAGACUCCUACGGGAGGCAGCAGUAGGGAAUCUUCCGCAAUGGGCGAAAGCCUGACGGAGCAACGCCGCGUGAGUGAUGAAGGUCUUCGGAUCGUAAAACUCUGUUAUUAGGGAAGAACAAAUGUGUAAGUAACUAUGCACGUCUUGACGGUACCUAAUCAGAAAGCCACGGCUAACUACGUGCCAGCAGCCGCGGUAAUACGUAGGUGGCAAGCGUUAUCCGGAAUUAUUGGGCGUAAAGCGCGCGUAGGCGGUUUUUUAAGUCUGAUGUGAAAGCCCACGGCUCAACCGUGGAGGGUCAUUGGAAACUGGAAAACUUGAGUGCAGAAGAGGAAAGUGGAAUUCCAUGUGU
This 636-nucleotide ribosomal RNA is filed under the name Staphylococcus epidermidis. RNAcentral's name for it is "bacterial SSU rRNA". It matches the Rfam family "Bacterial small subunit ribosomal RNA", at positions 57 to 676 of the family's 1533-position model. Lineage: Bacteria; Bacillati; Bacillota; Bacilli; Caryophanales; Staphylococcaceae. The record is from RNAcentral.